This 549-nucleotide ribosomal RNA is filed under the name uncultured bacterium. RNAcentral's name for it is "bacterial SSU rRNA". It matches the Rfam family "Bacterial small subunit ribosomal RNA", at positions 355 to 896 of the family's 1533-position model. The record is from RNAcentral.
UAGGGAAUCUNUCCGCAAUGGGCGAAAGCCUGACGGAGCAACGCCGCGUGAGUGAAGAAGGAUUUCGGUUCGUAAAGCUCUGUUGUUAGGGAAGAAUGAUUGUGUAGUAACUAUACACAGUAGAGACGGUACCUAACCAGAAAGCCACGGCUAACUACGUGCCAGCAGCCGCGGUAAUACGUAGGUGGCAAGCGUUGUCCGGAAUUAUUGGGCGUAAAGCGCGCGCAGGUGGUUUAAUAAGUCUGAUGUGAAAGCCCACGGCUCAACCGUGGAGGGUCAUUGGAAACUGUUAAACUUGAGUGCAGGAGAGAAAAGUGGAAUUCCUAGUGUAGCGGUGAAAUGCGUAGAGAUUAGGAGGAACACCAGUGGCGAAGGCGGCUUUUUGGCCUGUAACUGACACUGAGGCGCGAAAGCGUGGGGAGCAAACAGGAUUAGAUACCCUGGUAGUCCACGCCGUAAACGAUGAGUGCUAAGUGUUGGUCUCAUAAGAGAUCAGUGCUGCAGCUAACGCAUUAAGCACUCCGCCUGGGGAGUACGACCGCAAGGUUG